Molecule: ribosomal RNA, 253 nt
Filed under: uncultured bacterium
Lineage: Bacteria
Description: partial 16S ribosomal RNA
Rfam family: Bacterial small subunit ribosomal RNA
Source: RNAcentral
UACGAAGGGUGCAAACGUUGCUCGGAAUUAUUGGGCGUAAAGGGCGCGUAGGCGGCCUGGCAAGUGGAUGGUGAAAUCCCUCGGCUUAACCGAGGAACUGCCAUCCAGACUGCUUGGCUUGAGACCGGGAGAGGUGAGUGGAAUUCCCAGUGUAGCGGUGGAAUGCGCAGAUAUCAGGAAGAACACCCGUGGCGAAGGCGGCUCUCUGGGCAGUAACUGACGCUGAGGAGCGAAAGCGUGGGGAGCGAACAGG